This 210-nucleotide non-coding RNA is filed under the name uncultured Phascolarctobacterium sp. RNAcentral's name for it is "raiA RNA". It matches the Rfam family "raiA RNA". Lineage: Bacteria; Bacillati; Bacillota; Negativicutes; Acidaminococcales; Acidaminococcaceae. The record is from RNAcentral.
UCAGGUCUGUGGUUGCAAGUCGAUGCCAGUUGCAGGCGAAACGAUCCACGUAAACAGUUCGAAAUGGAACUGCGAGCACGGUGCAGUAUAGAAGUAAGACCUGCCGCAUAUAUUAAUUUUUCAGCGAGAGGGGUAGUAGUGGGGAGCGCGAAGGCUUAGGAGCGAACCCUCCAGCAGGCGAGUGUGGGGGCGAAAACCAGGUCAGCUGAG